RNAcentral lists this long non-coding RNA (541 nucleotides) under Pogona vitticeps (central bearded dragon). Its description in RNAcentral is "lncRNA (ENSPVIG00000023659.1)". Lineage: Eukaryota; Metazoa; Chordata; Lepidosauria; Squamata; Agamidae. The record is from RNAcentral.
UUUUCAGGUUUGCCUCCAGUAGUAUAUUCUGCAUGAUCUGUUCUUCUCAUGAAAUGUUCCUUAUUCACAAUGGUAUCAUGGGUUCAUUCUCUAUUCAUCAUUCAUCAGAGGAAACAACAUUUUCCAGACCGACCCUUGACACUGUAUCUGCAAUGACCGUUCAUUAGCCUAGAUUUUGUCCAAGGACUCUGUCAUAUUUCUGCUUCUGGGGUAACAAAAGAGGAACACACUUUUUAUUUGCUCCUCAGGCUGCAAUAUGGAUCUGAUGGCAUAGUUUCCAUCUUUCUCUCUUUUCUGCAAAGUUUCCAACUUGAGACCAAGACAAGAAUUACUCCGCAUUUGUGUAUAGUACACGUCAGCUUUCCCUGCUGUCUUCUGUUUGGGGAACGUUGCCCUAUUGGAUUGCUUACUUCCAUUAUCUCCCUUUGCCAUGAUGCCUGAGGAUGAUGGGGAUUGCUGCCAAACACAGUCCAUGCAUUGUCCAUGCUGCAUUUUCUCUUUCUAUGAGCUCGUUUCCUAGGAGGAUCCUUUGCUGAACCAU